GGUUGACCUCGGAUCAGGUACGAAUACCCGCUGAACUUAAGCAUAU
RNAcentral lists this ribosomal RNA (46 nucleotides) under Colletotrichum siamense. Its description in RNAcentral is "partial 28S ribosomal RNA". The record is from RNAcentral. Lineage: Eukaryota; Fungi; Ascomycota; Sordariomycetes; Glomerellales; Glomerellaceae.